Molecule: unclassified non-coding RNA, 627 nt
Filed under: Athalia rosae (coleseed sawfly)
Lineage: Eukaryota; Metazoa; Arthropoda; Insecta; Hymenoptera; Athaliidae
Description: misc RNA ENSAEAG00005011445.1
Source: RNAcentral
UGACAGCUUCAUUGUAAUUAUCGAUAUUUGAUAGGCUCAGUGCAACGCUGGGGUUUUGUGAUGUCGUAAGGGUGAACCACCUUGAGAUCAUGUUGGAUAUGAAGAACAUCAGCCAAGAAAUACAAUCUCAGAUUAUUAUCUAUGGGAUGUGGUAUACUAUUUCUGGUCUCUAUUCCGGCCUGCGCUUGUGCUAAACGAUGCCCAUAAUGCACGACUCGCAGCACCCAUGACACAUGUGAUGCAUGCUACCAUCAGUCCACAAGACCAAGCUAUCUCGAUCAGUUCUAGUAUAGGUUUAAUCACUGUCCCAUCGACUGAGUCGCCUGUAAAGAAAUGAGCAACGAUUUGUUUCCAUGGUGAUACAAAUGAGUGCCCCUGUGAGAGACAAAUCUGUGAACCAUCAAGAGUGAACCCCCUUGUCGAACGAAAUCACCACACUACAUCUAUGACCUUACUGACAGUCACUCAAUGAAACCGGUGACCAAAAUUACAAGUUUUUUCCUCUAAAAUUAUGUACUCGAAGACCUAACAAUAAGACGAUCUUUCGAGAGUGGGAAUUUACAAAUUGCAACGGGAUUUUAAAUGGCUUGAACUACUAAUGUUCACUAAUAUCCACCACAAGACAAC